Molecule: long non-coding RNA, 1482 nt
Filed under: Sparus aurata (gilthead seabream)
Lineage: Eukaryota; Metazoa; Chordata; Actinopteri; Spariformes; Sparidae
Description: lncRNA (ENSSAUG00010002142.1)
Source: RNAcentral
GCUGAAGUUAGUGAAACUGGACGUUAGCGUGAUGCUACGUUACGGACACGAGUUGCUCCUGAAGUGUUUUGUGUUUUCAGCUCAGUUGGAUCAACUCUCCUCCGUUGAGUCCAGACUGACAGACGGACUGAACAGCACCACAGGUUCAGAUUGAUUCCCUUCACAGUUUGUACAACACACUUGAUGAUGAUUAUUGAUAAAUCUGAUAGUUACUGUUUCCUGUUCAGCUCUGCAGCUCCGACUGAGCAUCUGUGAGAAACAGCUGGAACACCUGGAGACAGAGAACACAGGUAACACUGCAGGUGAACAUGUCUCAAACACACGGGUCAGGUUUCUGUGUUUCUGUCUCAUCCUGGUUCUGUUGCAGGUUUUGGCCUCAGACUGAAUCAGACUGACGAUCGUCUGCAGGAGCUCACAGACACAAACUCAGGUGGGCUGGAGCUGAAGGUGGCGUUCUCAGCCGGUCUGACUGAUUCAGGAUCAGUUGGACCGUUUGACAAGGAGACGACUCUGAUCUUCUCCAAAGUCAUCACCAACGUGGGCGGAGCCUACAACCAGACCGCAGGUGACGUGUACUUCAGCUGGUUGGAUAUAUACGUAGAUAGACGAUGUCAUGUGAUCUCAUCUUUUUUGAUGGACUUCUCCUUUAAACCCUCCCUCCUGUGUGACUGUGUUAACUCCGCCCUGCUCUGUGUCUGUCAGGUGUGUUAACUCCGCCCUGCUCUGUGUCUGUCAGGUGUGUUAACUCCGCCCUGCUCUGUGUCUGUCAGGUGUGUUAAAGGUCUCAUAUUAUGACAAACAGGUUUUCUCUGCUCUCUACAUAUAUAAGCUGGUCCUCGCUGAGCCUGUGGUCCACCCACUGGUAACACGGCGCUCCUACAGGCUGUUCAGAUUCUGCUCCUGUCGUUACGUAAGGAAAGGAGUCAUUAUCGUAGCCCCGCCUCCUCUGAGCGGUGAUAGGAGAUAUCAGAGAGGGGGGCGUUCAUCCCCGAGGUGAAGUUCCGUGUGUCCAGCGGAGAGACAGCGGUGUUUCACAAUGUCGUCGCUCAGAGCUAGACACGCAGUUACUCUGUUGUUGGUUGUAUAAAUUAACAUCAGUGCCUAUAUUCUGUCCCAGCUACAGAACAACAGAAGAGACCGUGGUUGUGUUUCAUUUUUAAUGACAACGUGCCGGCUGCGGUUCGUGUUAGCUUGUAUGUGUGUGCUAACCUCUUUACAUCUGACUGCUUCAGUAACGAGUGUCAGUACAAAGCUGGCUUUGCCUCGACACUGACCCUCAUAAAAGGAUCAGUCCCAACCAUACCGGACCCAGCAACUGCACCCGAGCCACAGGUAAGUGUCGCCGCGGUUUGAUAGUAUUUACACUUGCCGAUGAGUAACGUUAUGGUGAAGUCAGCUGGAAACUAGCUAACUAGUUAGCUCCGCUUCGGUCCGCUAUGUUAUGGCAUUUGAAGCGAGUUUUAUGUUAAUAAUAUAACGAGG